RNAcentral lists this ribosomal RNA (484 nucleotides) under uncultured bacterium. RNAcentral's name for it is "partial 16S ribosomal RNA". It matches the Rfam family "Bacterial small subunit ribosomal RNA", at positions 29 to 507 of the family's 1533-position model. The record is from RNAcentral.
AUUGAACGCUGGCGGCAUGCUUUACACAUGCAAGUCGAACGGCAGCGCGGGCUUCGGCCUGGCGGCGAGUGGCGAACGGGUGAGUAAUACAUCGGAACGUGCCCAGCAGUGGGGGAUAGCUCGGCGAAAGCCGGAUUAAUACCGCAUACGACCUGAGGUUGAAAGCGGGGGAUCUUCGGACCUCGCGCUAUUGGAGCGGCCGAUGGCAGAUUAGCUAGUUGGAGGGGUAAAGGCCUACCAAGGCGACGAUCUGUAGCUGGUCUGAGAGGACGACCAGCCACACUGGGACUGAGACACGGCCCAGACUCCUACGGGAGGCAGCAGUGGGGAAUUUUGGACAAUGGGCGAAAGCCUGAUCCAGCAAUGCCGCGUGUGUGAUGAAGGCCUUCGGGUUGUAAAGCACUUUUGGCGGGAACGAAAAGGACUGUGCCAAUACCACGGUUCGAUGACGGUACCCGCAGAAUAAGCACCGGCUAACUACGUG